UUACAAGCUGAAAAUAUAAAGAUGAAGUGAGUCAUUGUCAAAAAGGAAGAAAACAGAUAGAGAAUACAUUCAAAAAAAAAGAGUAUGAACAUAUGAACACUAUAUUGUUGAACAGGAGGUAAACAGUGUUGAUCAACAAAAACUGAAGAAUUUUAAAAACGAUUUAUGUGACAGUUAAAGCACGAAAGGUUGGUGGCACCAGGAAGCAGUUGACUCAACAGCCCACCCUGCCAAUCACGUGAAUCAAAGAACAGGAAAGCGUCCAUGUUGGCGAAAUGAAGCCGACUUCUUGAGGAUGUCAUCGGAGAUUUUCCUUGGUACAAUUACCAUUGAAGGAUAUGUAUUGCACACCUCAUAUGAGUUAAAAAUAAUGUAAGUACAUAAAUUUAUAUGCUACACA
Long non-coding RNA from Xenia sp. Carnegie-2017, 400 nucleotides. RefSeq lists it as uncharacterized. The record is from RefSeq and is a predicted model, not a curated record. Lineage: Eukaryota; Metazoa; Cnidaria; Anthozoa; Malacalcyonacea; Xeniidae. The transcript has 2 exons.